UAAUUUGCUACUUGUUAGACUUUGGGCCAGUUGCUUUACUUCUAUGAGCAGCAAUUUUCCCAUCUAUAAGUAGGGGGAGUAAUAGUAGUACCUACCCCCUGGGAUUUUUAUGAAAAUAAAUGAAGACAUGGCAUAGUGCUCAAUAAACAUAAGAAAGCAUUAUGGUUACUACUGUAUUAUGAGCAUGGCUUAUCACAAAUAUCUACCAGGCACAAACAUUGGCACAAAACAUACAUCUAAUAAAUGUUAGCUCUUUUAGUUUAAUGGUUUAUGAUUACUUCAAAUAACAAGGAUGCUUCUAUUCGAUUCAUUAAUUCAUUCCUUCCGUAUGUGUGUCCGCCAAGUGCAAAGCCUCAGGCUAAAGCUUACACAGUGGUACUGUGCAGCUUCUGUGAGAAUUUCCCAGUGAAGAUGAAGAGUGUACCCCACUUCCCAAGUGCGUGCAUGCAGACAAGAGCAACACCUCGUUAAUACAGUGGCUAUGGUCAGCUACAACUGAACUACUGCGGCUGCCCUUGAAGUAGAAGAGAGAAAUCCCAAGAGCACAUGGAAAUAUAAAUCACAAAUGAGAAUGAGCAUCUCUUCUGAAAAAAGGGGGACAGAAGUGGCUAGAGGCUUGCAGUGGUUUGGACUGGCUUCCGUGUGUCCUCCAAAUGUGGCCUCUCCUCGGAGGCUGACUCAGAUAGUGUACUAUAAGAGAAAGAGACGAAGUGACAUGAGUCCCAUGUGCACUUUGAGAGCUCUGUAUGGAAACAUCAGCAGUGGUUCACAUACGUUUUCCAGAGAUAUUCUCAGGACUCCACCAAGAAAAAGUAGAAGACAUUAUUAUUGGAUGUGGUCAAACAUUUUCCAUCCUGCUCAGAUGUUCUUGUCCAAGAAGGUAAUCAGUGACCAUCCAUACUGCCUAAAAUACAAUGUGAUCCACUGUGCAAUUUUA
This 937-nucleotide long non-coding RNA is filed under the name Fukomys damarensis (Damara mole-rat). RNAcentral's name for it is "lncRNA (ENSFDAG00000032066.1)". The record is from RNAcentral. Lineage: Eukaryota; Metazoa; Chordata; Mammalia; Rodentia; Bathyergidae.